Molecule: long non-coding RNA, 709 nt
Filed under: Struthio camelus australis
Lineage: Eukaryota; Metazoa; Chordata; Aves; Struthioniformes; Struthionidae
Description: lncRNA (ENSSCUG00000003729.1)
Source: RNAcentral
CUGAUAGUGGCUACAAUCUAGAAAAAUCCUCUCCCCAAGGAGUUUGCUAAGCACAGAACAAUGACAACACACUUCUGUGUUCAGAGGCCCUCUGGCUUUCUGAGCCUUGCAAUCUCUUCAGCUCAGUGGGGCAACUGACAGGGAUGGUGAGAGAGUCCACCUCCUUCAGCCUGGACCACAAAGGGUGGUCGACGUGCUCUCCUAGGAGAUGGAAGAUGCAUGCUUUAACCUCUUCAAGUGUGUCAGCUGCUGUAACUCCUAUUGUGAUUUCCUCCCCGUUCGAUACACAUGAUGUGAAAUCCACCCUGGGACAAAGAAACUUAAAGAAGCCGUAUACCUGUGCUGAAUUUCUGUGGCUGUGUGAAGGGCACCUGUCAUGGGCCAAGUGGAGAGUCCCAGCAAGUGUGGGCAGCCAGCUCCUUCCCUGGGGUGAGCAUGGGAGCCAGAAGCAUCUUCCCUGCUGCAUGGACUGCAGGCCAAAAUCUGCUGGGGGCUGAGCACAGGCUCCUUCUUUCUGAUGUCUAUGUGAAUGUUGGUGAAGAAAAUAGCCACAGUGGGGCUUUGAAGAGCACUCUUGAACCAGAAUGAGCUGUGGAUUCAUACAGUUAGCAAACAGCAGCUGUUUCCUCACAUUAAGAGAUCACGCAAUAUGCAUUGUCAUCAGUGUGUGACCCAUGCAAAAUAUCAUUGCUGUUGCCCAUUACCAUCC